UUCCGGUUCCGGGAGGUGCCACGGUGUCAGCUGGGAGCAGUCUGGGAAUCCAGUCAGAUGGGUGAGGCCACGACUUGAGACACUGAACUCAGCUGCUCCCUCCUCAGCUUGUAGGCCUGAUUCUGGAGUGGAAGAUGUUGGGAACACAGAGGAGCUGCUGGGAUUGCGGGUGGCCCUGCUGUGGCUGCUGCUGCUUUAAAAACAUCUGAAAAUGCUUCCAGGGCUCUGAGGAGCUGCCUCCCCCACCUCCAGCUCCUGGACAUGAACUAGGACACAAUCAUGGGUCUGGGACCCGAGCUCCUGUGGCUGCUGCUGCCCCACCGCCCCCCAUCUGACAUCCCUGCCAGGGGGGUUAGCAGCGGCCUUCCCCACCUCCAGCUCGUGGACAAGAGCAGGGAGCAGCUCAUGGCGCUGGAAUCUAAGCUGCUGACUCACAGCAGCCUGAGCAUGCUGAUGGACAGGAACAACAGGCUUGACAACACAGGCUUGCUGCUGGAGGGACUCGACCAGUCUCCACUCUGUCUCAGACUCCAGCUCUGCCUCACACAGCUCCACAUCCCAGAGUUUGUCUGAAUCAGAAGAUACAGCCAGUGAUCCUGCACACAGAGUACAGAAUGUUCUUCUUGGUUUACAGCAUUGGGUGUACACAAACGAAAGCAAAGCAAAGAUGAUUAUAAAAGAAAAUGGAACCUGAGUUUGAUUAUAAAGCUCAGUGGUUUCAGCUUGAAUCUCCAUGUAAGAGUUGCAAAGGUUUGAAAGGUUUUGUAUUUCAUGUAUCUCUUCUGCAUUAUUUAAUCCAGUUUACUGUUUAGAUUCUUUGAAUAUAAUUUAUGCUAAAUUGCAUUUCAAAAUGUGGCUGGUUGGUCAUAAUUUUCACUUAAGUCUUUGAUGAGAAACUAACAGAAUGGUAUAUUUGCUUGAUGAGUCAUAAUCAGCCUAGAGUGGUGUCAUAUGCCACAAUUGGGUUAACUAAAGUAAUACAUCAUACUACCAGUGUUCUUUUUUGCCUGAAAUGUAUGCCAUAAAUAGAAUGAGCCUUUGUCAUGGGUCACACCUGAGAUUCAGCCUAUGACUAACUAACAGUAUAUAAAUGAUUAUCACUUUUAAAUGUAAUAUUUAACCUUCAGUUCUUGUUUUGUUUUAUUUUAGUAACUUUAUGCAAUCUGUCUGUGACUUGUUUUCUAGCAGGGAUAUAGAGGCUUAUUAUAGAGAUGGUUUUAGAACAAACUGAAACCUUACACAAUCAAAAACACUUGGGAAUAUAUUUUAGCACACUAGGUAAUCAACUGUAUAUAAAAUCCCGGAAUCCCACAUACCUGCAACUCUUCAUGUAAAAUUUCCUGACCAUGAACUCUGAAGAAUACCUGCCUCUACAUGUUGGUGAUAGCAUUACAGACAUGCAAGACGACCUAUUUACAUUUCAUUUUAACUUCAUUUUGUUAACUGCAAUGAUCUCUUGUAAUCAUGCCCUUGGGAUUUCUGGGAGGCUAGAGUCAUGAUAUAUCAUCUUCCCAGCAGACAGAAUAACUGUUAUUGCCAGAAAAAAUCUAAUGUCUAGUAAUCUAAGAAAGGCUGGUUCUUAACAUCCAACUAAAUGACAGAAAGUUGGACAUGAUAGUGCACACAUACAAACAAGCACUUGGAUGGUAGAGGCAGAAGAUCAGGAGUUCAAAUUUAGCAUAGGCAUGAUAGUAUAGUUGAAGCCAGCCAGAUACAUGUAUCUGAAACCUUGUCUAAAAGUGGGGUUGAAUUUGGGUGGGAUGGAUUGUAUUUUCAAAUGUGUCUCCUUUGCUUGUGUUGUAUACUAAAUGCAAAGUUUCUCUGCAUUUGAUAGAAUAACUACAACUAGAUAUCAUUACAGUUGAAGGUAGUCAGAAGAAAAGCUUGUUGUAUGCACUCGCAAUAGAAUAGUUCACAAAGAUGGUUUUACUACUGAACAUUAAGAAAGUAGUGUUGAUAAAACAGGAAUGAAAAUACUAAAGUACUGUAUCUUUAAAGUGUAGGAGAAAAAUAGUAGCACAAACUAUUGGCAUUGAAAAUUAACAAAAUAUACUAUUGGAUUAUGCAAUAAAAACUAAUAGUAAUAAUUUAAUUGGACAUUACAAAAUAAAUAUUUAACUCUCAAUGCUGAGGAUUAAAAAAAGCACUGUAAUAACAUUAAGACUGGUUGGUAAGAACUAAAGGAAGAUAUAGCUUGAAUUAGGGAGUCAGGUGAGCAUUAAAGCAUGCUUUGUUUGAAUCCAGUUUUAUGCUGAGAACAUUUGCAUGUUGGUUUUCAUAUAUAUAUAUAUAUAUAUGUAUGUAUGUAUACAAUUUUAUUUUAAAUGUUGAUUUUAGGAGGUUAUAUUAGUAGUCUAUAUGGUAAUUCAGGUUUUGUGUGUGUUUUUGUUAUUUCAUGAAACAGGAGUUUCAUGACUGCAGUUGUGAAACGCUGCUAUAGUGAGUCCCCUUACCUUUUCCUCAGAAUAGUUUAGUAAGAUCAUUUUUACUUCUCUUUUUUUUGAGAUUUUUUUUCUGUGUUUACAAAAGUAAUGUUUCUUCUGCUAAUGUAUUUUAUGAUAGUACUUAUAAAGUUGUUUUUUUUUUCACACUGAGCAACAUUAAGCUGCCUAUUCCAAGAUUAGGAAAGGCACAGAUGACUUGGUGGGUUCUCAUGUAUCAAACUGUAAAUAUUUUGUAAUUAGAUGACUUCAGUUAAGCAACAUAGAAUGUUUUCAUGGAAAACAUUCAGAAUGAUGGGGCCGUACACUCCUGGAUUAAAUCCUGUAGUUUCUUGAUUGAUUAAUACCCUGACCUAAGUAACAACAUGUGUAGUCUUUUAGGAAUUACUUGUAAAUAGAGCAUCUAACCAUGCAUACACUUUCCAGCCUCAUAGAAAGAGGUGUAAUGUUUCUUCUUUCAUAGAUGUAUAUAUUCCAGCCUGUGAUAUGCAAAUGCACCCUAUGGUGGUCUUUCAAAAAGUGUUUAUUUUGGUUUUUUAUGUGUGUAAUUAAACUCUUUGUAUAGCAUGACAUCAGUAGUUUUGGCAGAGAUGUGGAUUACAAGGACAGAUGCAGUACCUUGUACCUCCUGAGCAAGCUGUAGUCCAAGCUUAUAGUAUAGAUAUUCUUUAGUGCAACCUUCACUGGUAGUUGUUUUAUAUCUCUUUUUGUUUGUUUGUUUGGUUUUAUCUUUUGAAACCAUCUCUGGCCCUAACUUUAACAAAUUCUGCCAAUGAUUUUUAAUUUUUUUCUUUUAUAUACUUUUUCUAUUUUUAAAAACUGACUAUAGACAUUAAUUUGGAGAGAAAGGAAUUAGAUCCCAAGUUAAUAAAAUGUAUUUUAAGUUGCAAGGUUUCUCCCUAGUUACAAAUCCCUUAUUUAUCCACCAGUGAAAUCUAAGACUUUCAGAUUCAGCAAGGGCACAAUUUUCAUAACAUGACUAUUUUAUUUUUGUGAGACAGGGCAGUACUAACCUUGAACUAGACAUGUAGACAACUCUGUCCUUUCUGUAAUACUCGUGCCUGGAAUUCUCAAACAUUGGGAUCACAUGUGUAAACCAUUAGCCCGGUUAAAUAUUUCAUGUAGAAAUAUACCAAUGCUGACUCUUGUUAAAAAUUUGGAUUUCUAAAUUAUCCUUUCCAAAAUACAAAAAAAGUAUACUCUAAAUUGACUUCAAAUAUGUGAAAUUUGUGUAAUAUAAAAAAAAGUAGUCUUCAUUAGGACAAGACCUUAUUGCAGAGUAGUUCCAACAAAGAGUGGAAAUACAGGGUUAAAUUGAUGACUCAUGAAGAGACUUGCUGAAAUGCUAAGUAAAGUAAAUCACUAAAGGCAGCAAAGUGUAAUAGAAGUCAUUUGCCAGGGAAUCCAAAGAUCUAAUAAAGCUCUGUAGAGUAAUAAGGAUUUUCUUAAAUUGAUUCACCAAAUUUCCUCCUACUAACAUCUGAAAUACUUAUCAAUACGUUUAUGGCUGCCAGUUUUUUAUUGAGUACACCCUGCUAUUCUGUUGCUACCUAGAAAGCAGAGCAAGUUAGCUGUAGGCUUUCUUUUAGUCUUGUUCUUUGCAGAGUUACUAUCAGAAAAUAUUUCUCUUUGGCCUGGUUUAUAUUACAGCAGUGUAACCUUAGUUAAUGUUUAACUUUUGGUUACCUUUUAAAUAAAUUACACAUUAAAUUUUGGUAGUAGCUAUUUAACUAAAAACGUAUGAUUAAUCUUUAAGUUUCAAUGUGAGUGUUUGCAGAUACAAUAUUACCAAUAAAAGUAUAUGUAUAGGUCAUCAGGUGAUCAUUUAAAGGGUGCUUUGUUAGAACGCAGUUGUAUGCUGAGAAUAUUUGCAUGUUAGGUUUAUUAUGUGUAUAUAAUCUUUAUUUUAGUUUCUUAUUUUAGGAGAUUAUAUUAGUAGACUAUAUUGUAAUUUAUAUUUUGUGUAUCCUUAUGUUAUUUCAUGAAACAGGAGUUUCAUGACUGCAGUUGUGAAACGCUGCUAUAGUGAGUCCCCUUACCUUUUCCUCAGAAUAGUAAGAUCAUUUUUACUUUUCUUUAGGGAUUUUUUUCUGUGUUUAUAAAAGUGAUGUUUCUACUGCUAAUGUAAUUUUAUGAUUGUAGUUAUAAAGUUGUUUUUUUUCACACUGAGCAACAUCAAGCUGCCUAUUCCAAGCUUAGGAAAGGCACAGAUGACUUAACGGGUUCCCACGUAUCAAACUGUAAAUAAUUUUGUAAUUAUAUGAUUUUAGUUAAGCAACAUAGAAUGUUUUCAUGGAAAACAUUCAGAAUGAUGGGGCCAUACACUCCUGGAUUAAAUCCUGUAGUUUCUUGAUUGAUAGUCAUCCUUACCUAAGUAAUAACAUGUGUGGUCUUCUAGGGAUUACUUGUAAAUAGAGCAUCUAAACAUACCUACCCUUUCUAGGCUCCUAGGCAUAGCUAUAUUGUUUAUUUUUCUUUCAUAAAUGUAAAUAUUCCAUCCUAUGGCAUACAAAUAUUUUAUAUAGUGCUCUUUCAACAAAGUGUUUAUUGUGGAUUUUUAUGCUUAUAAUUUAAACUAUGUAAAUAGUGUGCAAAAUAAGAAUUUUGCCAAAAAGGGUGAUUAUAGAGACAGAUCAAGGUUGUUGUACUUGUUGAGAAAGCUGCAUUCUAUGCCUAACAUUGAUCGGUUUUAAUGAAAUCAUCAUUGUUAGCUUUUUUAGGUUUUUUGGUUGUUGUUUUUUCUUUUAUAUUCAUUUUGGCAUUAACAUUCUGCAAAUGAUUGCUAAGUUUUUUUCUCUUUUAAAACACUGUUCAUUUAAAAAAGAACUGAGUAUAGACAUUACUUGAUGUGACCACAAUUGAUCAUCUUGAUAUAUGAUCGCCUUCUUAAGACAUCAUUUUACAUCAAAGUUGAAGAUGGGCAACAAAGAAAGUCGUUGUGGAGUAUGCCUUUGACAUGGCAUGACCAGCCAUUUGGACAAGAAACUUCACUUCCUGGACUGGUGACAGCAAGUUUUCAAAACUGGACAAGAAGGUUACAAAGAAAAGUGACUGCUGAACUUCCCAAAUUUCAGGAUUAUUCUUCAUUAACCUGCUUUAUUAAAAAGACUAUCAGACAUCUGGGCCUAUAAGCUGAAGAGGGAUUCCACAAUUUUGCAGAGGAUGCUUGGGUGACUUUCUAGGCAUCAAGAUCUCUCUGAAAACCUAGAGUUUAUAUAUGACCUUCUGCAGUCUUUGGUGGUGUUGAAGACAAAUAGUUAUGGUUAAGAAUUUCCUUAGUUAUGUAAUAAAUAAGUUGCAUAUAAAGCUUUAAAGUAAAAAAGAUAGGAAAUAUGUAGACUGUUUUCUUUAAAUUUGCCAAAUAUUAACAUACUAAAUAUUGUUAACUGUACUUUUUUGCUUAUUAAGUUUCCUAAUGCAUAAUUGUACCAUUUUAAAUAUAAAUUUCCUUGUUGUUCCAGACACAAAGAGCACAUGAUGUGGGAUGUCCUUCUGUAUGAUGUAACUAUAUGUUUCUCUUCCUUGUUGAGGAAAAACAAUGUGCUGGCCAAAUGCCAGGCAGGAUAUAGCAAGAGAGAAUGUAUAGGCAAUAUAAACUGAGAAAGGAAUCCUGAGAGAGGAACACGUAUUGUAAGUCUUGAGACAGCUCUAAUGUAGCUGCAGGGAAGGUGGGUUGUCUCGUCAUUUUCUGGUAAGCCAAAACAACCUGGAGAUUCACUGAUUAGUUCAAAUGGUUAGUAAUUGGUAGGAACCAGCCAAUGUAGCCUGUGCCAAAGAACAAAUAGCAUAUAUUUUAUAUAACCCUCUGUGUGUUUAUUUGGGACUGUAGUGUGACAGAAUCAAGAUGAACACUAACUUCUGCCUAUACAUUGCUGUUAGUGGAAAAUAUUAUUGAUUUGAUUUGUUUUGUGAACAUGGAUGGUAGAGAAUUCUUUUUCUCACUGUUCACAUGGUCAGCAUUGUGUUCCUGAGUAACAGUGCUGACCUCAGUAAUCGCUUACAAAAUCAUAUGCAUAUUUGCAUUGAGGAUUUUUUUUGCAUCCUGUGCCUAAUUAUUGUUUGCUAGCAACAACACAAUGAGCUACAUAAACAGCCUUAGCUUUUCAUAAAUUUGGGCGUUCAGUACCAACAAAUGUGGCUGAAAAUGUUACUUUUAUUUUGGUCAAAUUAUUAUGUAUGCUUUGACUUCUUUAAUUUUCAGGACCUAAAAUCAUAUGUGAUCCACAUGGCUGUGCAAGUGUAUACAUAAUUAAAAUGUAACUAUGAAUUAUGAAUCAGUGUUGAAAUUUGCUAUUUUGAAAAAAAUAUAUUUCUAUUGUAUCAAGUUAUGUUACAUUGUAAUGAAAAUAUUCUAAGAAGUAUUUUUAAACUAUUCAAAUUCUAGUGUGUCAUUACCAAAAUGACAUGAAAAACCACGGUCUUAUAUUUGCUAUGUAUACCCUCAUGAAUUUUACCCUAAAUGUUGUGCAUUGUCUUAUUAGACUCAAAAAAUCUUACAGAAAUUUACUAAAAAAGUAAUAAAUUAUAUGAGCAUACAUAUUCAAAA
Long non-coding RNA from Mesocricetus auratus (golden hamster), 6987 nucleotides. RefSeq lists it as uncharacterized. NCBI's taxonomy places the organism in Eukaryota, Metazoa, Chordata, Mammalia, Rodentia, Cricetidae. The transcript has 2 exons. The record is from RefSeq and is a predicted model, not a curated record.